GACCUCGGAUCAGGUAGGAAUACCCGCUGAACUUAAGCAUAUCAAUAAGCGGAGGAAAAGAAACCAACAGGGAUUGCCCUAGUAACGGCGAGUGAAGCGGCAACAGCUCAAAUUUGAAAUCUGGCUCUCGGGCCCGAGUUGUAAUUUGUAGAGGAUACUUUUGAUGCGGUGCCUUCCGAGUUCCCUGGAACGGGACGCCAUAGAGGGUGAGAGCCCCGUCUGGUUGGAUGCCAAAUCUCUGUAAAGUUCCUUCGACGAGUCGAGUAGUUUGGGAAUGCUGCUCUAAAUGGGAGGUAUAUGUCUUCUAAAGCUAAAUACCGGCCAGAGACCGAUAGCGCACAAGUAGAGUGAUCGAAAGAUGAAAAGCACUUUGAAAAGAGAGUUAAAAAGUACGUGAAAUUGUUGAAAGGGGAAGCGUUUAUGACCAGACUUGGGGCUUGGUUAAUCAUCUGGGGGUUCUCCCCAGGUGCACUUUUUCCAGUUCCAGGGC
This 490-nucleotide ribosomal RNA is filed under the name Fusarium proliferatum. RNAcentral's name for it is "partial large subunit ribosomal RNA". It matches the Rfam family "Eukaryotic large subunit ribosomal RNA", at positions 1 to 492 of the family's 3401-position model. Lineage: Eukaryota; Fungi; Ascomycota; Sordariomycetes; Hypocreales; Nectriaceae. The record is from RNAcentral.